UACGGGGGGGGCAAGCGUUGUUCGGAAUUACUGGGCGUAAAGGGCUCGUAGGCGGCCAACUAAGUCAGACGUGAAAUCCCUCGGCUUAACCGGGGAACUGCAUCUGAUACUGGAUGGCUUGAGUUCGGGAGAGGGAUGCGGAAUUCCAGGUGUAGCGGUGAAAUGCGUAGAUAUCUGGAGGAACACCUGCGGUGUAGACGGCUUACUGGACGGUAACUGACGCUGAGGCACGAAAGCGUGGGUAGCAAACAGG
RNAcentral lists this ribosomal RNA (253 nucleotides) under uncultured bacterium. RNAcentral's name for it is "partial 16S ribosomal RNA". It matches the Rfam family "Bacterial small subunit ribosomal RNA", at positions 524 to 776 of the family's 1533-position model. The record is from RNAcentral.